Heterocephalus glaber (naked mole-rat) is the source of this 2370-nucleotide long non-coding RNA. Lineage: Eukaryota; Metazoa; Chordata; Mammalia; Rodentia; Bathyergidae. The record is from Ensembl.
GGGAGCAGAGUUGAAGUUACAAUUGAGAUUAGAGAAUUGGGGCCCUGUGAAGGGCACCCGGGCUAUUUUUCCUGCCCUGCGUUACACAGCUAGGAGGAGGUGAGCAGGGCAGUAUCAAGGCCUGGUCUGUGUUGCUCCAAGGAGCAUGAAAAGGACAGAGGGCCUGGUGUAGGAAGCGUGGUUUCCACAGGAUCCUUGCUGCCUUCAGAUUCCUCCCGGCAGCCAGGGAGCUGGGUAAGGCGGAGGCUAUUCAGCUGCCAUCUGUCCUCCUGGCUCCAGUGCCUGGCAACUGGCUGCCCGGGUCUGCUCUCUGCUCUGGAGGAGGAGGCAUUCCUCCACGGCCCAUCAGGCAGGAUGAGGAGCUGUGCCCUCGCCAGGGCCGCACCACAUGAUGGAUUCGAUGAUUAUGCCUUUCUGAUGUGGGGGCUGCUCAGUCGUGUAGCAGAACCAGUCCCAUCUGCUGUGUUUCUUCAAAGAGCUGCUGGAAGGAAAUAUCUGCACUCUGCUCAUGCUGGGGCUGGAGGUGGAAAGGAGGAUGGAAGUGAGGCCAGAUGGACAUAAAGACCGUGGGUCCAGCUCAGGGCAGCAGCUCCUAUUUGUGGAAGUGAUGCAAACGACAGGCCCUUCUCUGCGCCAUUUGCCCCCCUUGGCAUCCCUUACUGGAAGACAUGGCUGCCGCCUGCUGUGGCCCUCUGCCCGAGGUUUUUCCCUUGAAGAGGCUUCCUGUGCCUGAAGCUGCCCUGCGACAAGCAGUAGAGAGUUUAUAGCAGCUUUCGCCACCACUCCCCCUUCUCAGAAGAGAGACAAAGAGGAGGCAGUGGGUGAUCUGGGGGCUCUUGGAGCCGGUGGAAGUUGGAAGUCCCUACGUGGAGCUCUCCUUGACCAGGAUGAUGAGGACCAUCCUGCCUGUCCCCCCGGAUGCGGUCUGACUAUGUUGCCCAGGCUGGUCUCAAACUCCCAGGAUCAAGGAAUCCUCCUGCCCCAGCCUUCCCAGCACCUGGGACUACAGGCACAUCCACCAAGCCAGCCUCUGUGGGGAUAUCUUUCCUGAAGUCAUCUGUGCCCUGCAAUCCAGCUGAGUGCUUCUCUGGGACAGCUGUACAGCUCCCAUCCUGAGAGCUCCCUUUGCACUCAGGGACCAACAAGCGCCUUUAUGUUUCUCCUUUGUUGCAAUCCUUCUGUCCUGGACCAUGGUUUUUUUCUCCUUCUUAAUUGGCUUCCUCCUUGUAGUGAAGCAUAAUUUUCAAGAGAUACUUGAGGAAGGGCCUAUAGGAGAUACACAAACUGAAAACCUGCACUGGGGAAAAUGUCUGUAGUCCAACUGCCCUUUGGUGGAUAGUUUUGUGGUACACAAUCUUAGAAAACUAUGGGGGCGGGGAUUUAGCUCAUUGGUUUUGCCGCCUGCCACGCAAGCGCAAGGGCCAGAGUUCGAUCCCCACUACCAAAAAAACCCAAAAAACCAGAAAACUAUGUCCCUCAGGAUUUAGCAUAUAUUGAUCUAUUGUCUUCCAGCUUCCACUCUUAUGGAUAAAAAACUUAAGUCUGUUUUGAUUUCCUUUUCUUUGCAAAUGACCUGUUUUGUUCUCUCUAGAAGCUUGAAGUCCUUUUGCUCUUUUUUUUUUCUUUCUUUUCUUUUAAUCACUAGUGUUUUGAAAUUUCACAAAGAUGUGGCUUUGUAGGAUCCUUUCCUGUUCAUUGUUAUGGAUGAUCUCAAGGAUAUCUUUUCUCAUUAGGUUUUUUUUUUUGAAACACAAUCUCACAAUAUAGCUCAGGAUACCCUUCAACUCACUAUGUAGCCCAGACUCGCCUCAAAUUCAUAGUGAUCCUUCUGCCUCAGCCUCCCAGUUCUGGGAUCAUAGGCAUGUGCCACUAGGAAAUUUUCUAGUAUUCAUUCUUUGCUUAUUUUUCCCCCUCCAUAGUCUCCUGACUCCCCCUCCUUUUCAUUCUCCUCUUCCUUUUCUGCUUCCUCUUAUUCCUUCCCUUCUUCAUCUUCAUUUUUCUCUUCCUCUUCCUUCCCCUUCCUCUCUUUGGUCUCCUUCCUCUUUCUCUUCUGCUUCUUUUUUUGAGAUGGAAACCUCACUGUGCUGCCCAGGCUGGCCUAGAUUUGCAAUCCUCCUGCCUGAAUAUCCCAAGUAGCUGGGUCACAGACAUGUUCCACUUCAAUGGCUCUGCUCUUAUUUAUCUGAUAAUCCUAUUAGUUAUGUGUUGAAACUGUACAACUGGUCUCUGAAUUUUCUUUUUUUCUCUCCCUUUUCCCUACUCUUUGUCUUUUUGUUCUAUUUUAUGAGAGAUGGGCAUAACUUUAUCUUCAACCAUCAUAUUGAAUUUAAGCAAGCAUUCUUUUCAAUUAUUUUUUACUCUUAAAAUCAC